AGUGAACGCUGGCGGUAGGCCUAACACAUGCAAGUCGAACGGCAGCACAGUAAGAGCUUGCUCUUACGGGUGGCGAGUGGCGGACGGGUGAGGAAUACAUCGGAAUCUACUUUUUCGUGGGGGAUAACGUAGGGAAACUUACGCUAAUACCGCAUACGACCUACGGGUGAAAGCGGGGGAUCUUCGGACCUUGCGCGAUUGAAUGAGCCGAUGUCGGAUUAGCUAGUUGGCGGGGUAAAGGCCCACCAAGGCGACGAUCCGUAGCUGGUCUGAGAGGAUGAUCAGCCACACUGGAACUGAGACACGGUCCAGACUCCUACGGGAGGCAGCAGUGGGGAAUAUUGGACAAUGGGCGCAAGCCUGAUCCAGCCAUACCGCGUGGGUGAAGAAGGCCUUCGGGUUGUAAAGCCCUUUUGUUGGGAAAGAAAAGCAGCAGGUUAAUACCCCGCUGUUCUGACGGUACCCAAAGAAUAAGCACCGGCUAACCUCGUG
RNAcentral lists this ribosomal RNA (492 nucleotides) under uncultured bacterium. RNAcentral's name for it is "partial 16S ribosomal RNA". It matches the Rfam family "Bacterial small subunit ribosomal RNA", at positions 29 to 507 of the family's 1533-position model. The record is from RNAcentral.